RNAcentral lists this ribosomal RNA (497 nucleotides) under uncultured bacterium. RNAcentral's name for it is "partial 16S ribosomal RNA". It matches the Rfam family "Bacterial small subunit ribosomal RNA", at positions 28 to 507 of the family's 1533-position model. The record is from RNAcentral.
GAUGAACGCUGGCGGCGUGCCUAAUACAUGCAAGUCGAGCGAACAGACGAGGAGCUUGCUCCUCUGACGUUAGCGGCGGACGGGUGAGUAACACGUGUAUAACCUACCUAUAAGACUGGGAUAACUUCGGGAAACCGGAGCUAAUACCGGAUAAUAUAUUGAACCGCAUGGUUCAAUAGUGAAAGACGGUUUUGGUGUCACUUAUAGAUGGAUCCGCGCCGCAUUAGCUAGUUGGUAAGGUAACGGCUUACCAAGGCAACGAUGCGUAGCCGACCUGAGAGGGUGAUCGGCCACCCUGGAACUGAGACACGGUCAAGACUCCUACGGGAGGCAGCAGUAGGGAAUCUUCGGCAAUGGGCGAAAGCAUGACGGAGCAACGCGGCGUGAGUGAUGAAGGUCUUCGGAUCGUAAAACUCUGUUAUUAGGGAAGAACAAAUGUGUAAGUAAAUAUGCACGUAUUGACGGUACCUAAUCAGAAAGCCACGGCUAACUACGUG